UACGUAGGUGGCAAGCGUUGUUCGGAAUUAUUGGGCGUAAAGGGCGCGUAGGCGGUUUGUUAAGUCGGUCGUGAAAGCCCGGGGCUCAACCCCGGAGGGUCGACCGAUACUGGCAGGCUCGAGUUCGGAAGAGGCGAGUGGAAUUCCCGGUGUAGCGGUGAAAUGCGCAGAUAUCGGGAGGAACACCAAUGGCGAAGGCAGCUCGCUGGGACGUUACUGACGCUGAGACGCGAAAGCGUGGGGAGCAAACAGG
Molecule: ribosomal RNA, 253 nt
Filed under: uncultured bacterium
Lineage: Bacteria
Description: partial 16S ribosomal RNA
Rfam family: Bacterial small subunit ribosomal RNA
Source: RNAcentral